RNAcentral lists this ribosomal RNA (600 nucleotides) under uncultured archaeon. RNAcentral describes it as "bacterial SSU rRNA". It matches the Rfam family "Archaeal small subunit ribosomal RNA", at positions 224 to 827 of the family's 1478-position model. The record is from RNAcentral.
AUCAGCUGUUGUUGAGGUAAUGGCCCACCCAAGCCGAUUACAGUACGGGCUCUGAGAAGGAGAAGCCGGAGAUGGGUACUGAGACACGGACCCAGGCCCUAUGGGGCGCAGCAGGCGAGAAACCUUAGCAAUGUGCGAAAGCACGACUGGGUCAGUCCGAGUGAUUCCUGAUAAAGGAGUCUUUUGCCUGUCCUAAAAACACAGGUGAAUAAGGGGUGGGCAAGUCUGGUGUCAGCCGCCGCGGUAAUACCAGCACCUCGAGUGGUCAGGACGUUUAUUGGGCCUAAAGCAUCCGUAGCCGGCGCUGCAAGUCUUCGGUUAAAUCCACCUGCUCAACAGAUGGGCUGCUGGAGAUACUACAGCGCUAGGGAGUGGGAGAGGCAGACGGUAUUCAGUGGGUAGGGGUAAAAUCCUCUGAUCCAUUGAGGACCACCAGUGGCGAAGGCGGUCUGCCAGAACACGUUCGACGGUGAGGGAUGAAAGCUGGGGGAGCAAACCGGAUUAGAUACCCGGGUAGUCCCAGCUGUAAACGAUGCAAACUCGGUGAUGCAUUGGCUUAUGGCCAAUGCAGUGCCGCAGGGAAGCCGUUAAGUUUGCCGC